AGGAAGAAAGCAGCAGAAUCUGAAGAGGAGGAAGAGGAGGAGCUGAUCUGUUCCUGAUCUCUAAAGAGACUCAAACUUCCUCCUUCAGUUCAGUUCAACUCUCCAACAUUAACUCUGCUCAACAUGGACUAUUAUGGUCUGUCUCUGCUCAUCAUCUCUCUGCUAACAGGAGUCAGAUGCCAACAACUCACUGCGCUUCAGAAAGAAGAGUUCGCUGUAGGAAGCAGCAAAGUUACUCUGUCCUACACUUACUCCAAAACAGCCACUGGAACUGAUUAUUUCUUCUGGUAUCGACAAUAUCCUGGAAAACCUCCAGAGUUCCUGAUCUCCCAUUUAGGAACAGGAACUAAACUCCAGGAUCCGGUUCCUGGUUUCUCCUUCAACGUGAAUGCUGAUAAAACCCAGAUGGAUCUGCUGAUCUCCUCUGCUGCAGUGACAGACUCUGCUGUGUACUACUGCGCUGUGAGGCCCACAGUGACAGGAAACACCAGAACCCUGUACAAAAACCUGCAGUUCUCCACAGCAGCCACAGUGAGACCAUUUGUUGCCUGGAAUUGCAAAAAUGUGACAAGGAAGAGAUCAGCAGAAAUCUUGCAGCAUGAAGCCAAGAGCAGCCAGAAGCAGUUAGCGUUGGAUCCUGGAGGCAGCAGCAGGCAGAUACCAGCAACCCUCAGAGGAGCUACGGGUCGGACAUGGAGGCAGGUCGGCAGCCCCGACGCCACGGAGACUCAGUACCAAACCUCCUAA
This is a non-coding RNA of Xiphophorus maculatus (southern platyfish), 747 nucleotides long. Lineage: Eukaryota; Metazoa; Chordata; Actinopteri; Cyprinodontiformes; Poeciliidae. The record is from the annotation of a RefSeq genome assembly.